AGCCCUGGAACCCACUUUGGAAUCUGCAGAGAACUGUUACCUGUACCACACCUUUUGUUCAUCUCAUCAACCCUGAAAAUUGAUCAGAUGCCCAGAACAUUUUGUGUCACAGAAGCCAUCUCAGAAAUGAGACCCAUGCCCAGGAGAGACAGAGGACUGCUGGCAGGAACCCCUGAGGACAUGGCCACUGGGAAGCUCAAUUUGCUCAUCUUCACGAAAAUCGCCACUUGAUAAUUUUGCUCCCCUACAUGAGUCACCAAUAGCAUACUUGGGAAAAACCACAUCAAAGAUCUCAGUAUAUUAUCUCUGUGAUUAUCUAAGGAGCUGACUACAGCUUCCACAGCAGCAGAGUGGAAAUUAGCUUAAAGUAAUGUUUCUUAAAGUGGAGCACUUAGACUAACUAUACUAGCGUCACCCAGAAACCUGAGAAAAUGCAGAUUCUUGGGCCUGAGUCCCUCCGCCCCAGACCUACAGAAUCAGAGACUAUGGGGGUGGGCCCAACAACCUGUGAUUCAACAAGUCUUCAAGGUAAUUCUGAUGGAUGCUGAAGUUUGAGAACCACUGGCCUGGGAGAGGCGGCCAGAGCUGUCCCUGACUCCAUCUUUGGCUCCCCUGCCUGCCCCUCUUACUGCUCAGGAUCAUCACAGACAGUUGAUAUCAGUCCUUUAUCUCCAAGCGCGUUCAUCUCUGGAGAUGCUGCAGAGCACCAGUGGGUAGGGAAGUCUGGAGUCCAGUGAUGUAAAACUGACUUCACCCAUCUGGAUAAAUUGUGAGGAAAAGGGCCCUAAGUGGUGUUGUGGUUAAGAAUACAAACUCAGGGGUCACCUGGGUAGCUCAGUUGGUUAAGCGUCUAACUCUUGGUUUCAGCUCAGGUCAUGAUCUUACGGUUCAUGAGUUCGAGCCCUGCAUGGGACUCUGCACUGGCAGCACAGAGCCUGCUUGGGAUCCUCUUGCUCCCUUCUCUCUGCCCCUCCCCUGCUCAUGCAUGCUCUCUCUCUCUCUCAAAAUCAAUAAACUUUUUUUUUUAAAAAAAUGUGAUAAAAUAAAAGAAGAAUACAA
Molecule: long non-coding RNA, 1059 nt
Organism: Neofelis nebulosa (Clouded leopard)
Lineage: Eukaryota; Metazoa; Chordata; Mammalia; Carnivora; Felidae
Exons: 2
Source: RefSeq, a predicted model, not a curated record